UAUCUAGGGCAAAAUUUUUACAUAU
RNAcentral lists this non-coding RNA (25 nucleotides) under Rattus norvegicus (Norway rat). The record is from RNAcentral. Lineage: Eukaryota; Metazoa; Chordata; Mammalia; Rodentia; Muridae.